UGUAACGCUUGGCGGCGUGCCUAAUACAUGCAAGUCGAACGCUUUGUGGUUCAACUGAUUUGAAGAGCUUGCUCAGAUAUGACGAUGGACAUUGCAAAGAGUGGCGAACGGGUGAGUAACACGUGGGAAACCUACCUCUUAGCAGGGGAUAACAUUUGGAAACAGAUGCUAAUACCGUAUAACAAUGACAACCGCAUGGUUGUUAUUUAAAAGAUGGUUCUGCUAUCACUAAGAGAUGGUCCCGCGGUGCAUUAGCUAGUUGGUAAGGUAAUGGCUUACCAAGGCGAUGAUGCAUAGCCGAGUUGAGAGACUGAUCGGCCACAAUGGGACUGAGACACGGCCCAUACUCCUACGGGAGGCAGCAGUAGGGAAUCUUCCACAAUGGGCGAAAGCCUGAUGGAGCAACGCCGCGUGUGUGAUGAAGGGUUUCGGCUCGUAAAACACUGUUGUAAGAGAAGAAUGACAUUGAGAGUAACUGUUCAAUGUGUGACGGUAUCUUACCAGAAAGGAACGGCUAAAUACGUGCCAGCAGCCGCGGUAAUACGUAUGUUCCAAGCGUUAUCCGGAUUUAUUGGGCGUAAAGCGAGCGCAGACGGUUAUUUAAGUCUGAAGUGAAAGCCCUCAGCUCAACUGAGGAAUUGCUUUGGAAACUGGAUGACUUGAGUGCAGUAGAGGAAAGUGGAACUCCAUGUGUAGCGGUGAAAUGCGUAGAUAUAUGGAAGAACACCAGUGGCGAAGGCGGCUUUCUGGACUGUAACUGACGUUGAGGCUCGAAAGUGUGGGUAGCAAACAGGAUUAGAUACCCUGGUAGUCCACACCGUAAACGAUGAGUGCUAGGUGUUUGAGGGUUUCCGCCCUUAAGUGCCGCAGCUAACGCAUUAAGCACUCCGCCUGGGGAGUACGACCGCAAGGUUGAAACUCAAAGGAAUUGACGGGGACCCGCACAAGCGGUGGAGCAUGUGGUUUAAUUCGAAGCAACGCGAAGAACCUUACCAGGUCUUGACAUCCCUUGACAACUCCAGAGAUGGAGCGUUCCCUUCGGGGACAAGGUGACAGGUGGUGCAUGGUUGUCGUCAGCUCGUGUCGUGAGAUGUUGGGUUAAGUCCCGCAACGAGCGCAACCCUUAUUACUAGUUGCCAGCAUUCAGUUGGGCACUCUAGUGAGACUGCCGGUGACAAACCGGAGGAAGGUGGGGAUGACGUCAAAUCAUCAUGCCCCUUAUGACCUGGGCUACACACGUGCUACAAUGGCGUAUACAACGAGUUGCCAACCCGCGAGGGUGAGCUAAUCUCUUAAAGUACGUCUCAGUUCGGAUUGUAGGCUGCAACUCGCCUACAUGAAGUCGGAAUCGCUAGUAAUCGCGGAUCAGCACGCCGCGGUGAAUACGUUCCCGGGUCUUGUACACACCGCCCGUCACACCAUGAGAGUUUGUAACACCCAAAGCCGGUGGGGUAACCUUCGGGAGCCAGCCGUCUAAGGUGGGACAGAUGAUUAGGGGU
Molecule: ribosomal RNA, 1499 nt
Filed under: Weissella confusa
Lineage: Bacteria; Bacillati; Bacillota; Bacilli; Lactobacillales; Lactobacillaceae
Description: bacterial SSU rRNA
Rfam family: Bacterial small subunit ribosomal RNA
Source: RNAcentral